GUGAGGAAUUUUGCGCAAUGGGGGCAACCCUGACGCAGCGACGCCGCGUGGAGGACGAAGUCUUUCGGGAUGUAAACUCCUGUCAGUGGGGACGAUAAUGACGGUACCCACAGAGGAAGCACCGGCUAACUCCGUGCCAGCAGCCGCGGUAAGACGGAGGGUGCAAGCGUUGUUCGGAAUUACUGGGCGUAAAGCGUAUGUAGGCGGCAAGUUAAGUUCAAUGUUAAAGCCCACGGCUCAACCGAGGAGAUGCAUUGAAUACUGGCUAGCUAGAGGGUGUUAGAGGAAGACGGAAUUCCCAGUGUAGCGGUGAAAUGCGUAGAUAUUGGGAGGAACAUCGGUAGCGAAAGCGGUCUUCUGGGACAUACCUGACGCUGAGGUACGAAAGCGUGGGGAGCAAACGGGAUUAGAUACCCUAGUAGUCC
RNAcentral lists this ribosomal RNA (425 nucleotides) under uncultured bacterium. RNAcentral describes it as "partial 16S ribosomal RNA". It matches the Rfam family "Bacterial small subunit ribosomal RNA", at positions 354 to 796 of the family's 1533-position model. The record is from RNAcentral.